This 77-nucleotide transfer RNA is filed under the name Micrococcales bacterium. RNAcentral's name for it is "tRNA-Met". It matches the Rfam family "tRNA". From Rfam's summary of the family: Transfer RNA (tRNA) molecules are approximately 80 nucleotides in length. Their secondary structure includes four short double-helical elements and three loops (D, anti-codon, and T loops). Lineage: Bacteria; Bacillati; Actinomycetota; Actinomycetes; Micrococcales. The record is from RNAcentral. RNAcentral also lists the same sequence under 1 other name.
GGCGGGGUAGCUCAGGUGGUUAGAGCGCACGGCUCAUAAUCGUGAGGUCGCGGGUUCGAGUCCCGCCCCCGCUACCA